CUCUGUGCGCCAAUACACUUACGAGGAUGAAUUGAGGACAGCCAAUCAACGAUUCACACCAGGAGCUAUGGGCGGUAUAGCGGUCGGAAUGAUCGUGUUAGGCGGCCUCCUCGGCUCUGGGAUUUCAUUCUUCGUCUUCAAGUCAUAGAACAUCAACACGGCAAUCUCUGUCACUGUGUCUGCGAUGAGGAGUUUGUCAACAUGAUUUGGCUGUUUACAAUGACGUCCGCCUCUUCGUCUAAUGGGCUAUAAUAUGCCAGCCAAUGGAAGAACUGUUAGCGAUAUCGUAGACUCAUAUAGGCCUAUCAUUGCACUGUAAAAUUUUAAUAGUUUUUGUAUUGUGUGUUAUAUUGAUGCCAUGUAUUUCGUUUAGUAUAUAUAUAUAUGAAGAGUUUAGGCGCAAAACGCGAUAUAUCCAUU
Molecule: long non-coding RNA, 420 nt
Organism: Gigantopelta aegis
Lineage: Eukaryota; Metazoa; Mollusca; Gastropoda; Neomphalida; Peltospiridae
Exons: 3
Source: RefSeq, a predicted model, not a curated record